RNAcentral lists this ribosomal RNA (492 nucleotides) under uncultured bacterium. RNAcentral's name for it is "partial 16S ribosomal RNA". It matches the Rfam family "Bacterial small subunit ribosomal RNA", at positions 29 to 507 of the family's 1533-position model. The record is from RNAcentral.
AGUGAACGCUCGCGGUAGGCCUAACACAUGCAAGUCGAACGGCAGCACAGUAAGAGCUUGCUCUUACGGGUGGCGAGUGGCGGACGGGUGAGGAAUACAUCGGAAUCUACUUUUUCGUGGGGGAUAACGUAGGGAAACUUACGCUAAUACCGCAUACGACCUACGGGUGAAAGCAGGGGAUCUUCGGACCUUGCGCGAUUGAAUGAGCCGAUGUCGGAUUAGCUAGUUGGCGGGGUAAAGGCCCACCAAGGCGACGAUCCGUAGCUGGUCUGAGAGGAUGAUCAGCCACACUGGAACUGAGACACGGUCCAGACUCCUACGGGAGGCAGCAGUGGGGAAUAUUGGACAAUGGGCGCAAGCCUGAUCCAGCCAUACCGCGUGGGUGAAGAAGGCCUUCGGGUUGUAAAGCCCUUUUGUUGGGAAAGAAAAGCAGCAGGUUAAUACCCCGCUGUUCUGACGGUACCCAAAGAAUAAGCACCGGCUAACUUCGUC